RNAcentral lists this microRNA precursor (104 nucleotides) under Canis lupus familiaris (dog). RNAcentral describes it as "mir-8834 microRNA precursor family". It matches the Rfam family "mir-8834 microRNA precursor family". The record is from Rfam by way of RNAcentral. Lineage: Eukaryota; Metazoa; Chordata; Mammalia; Carnivora; Canidae.
AGGAGCAACAGCCCCAGUGGCGGGGCCGCUCUGGAAACCUGGAUUCAGCCCCCGCAGUAGCUCCGGAGCUCUCGGUCUGCAGGGCCUGGAGGCUCCGGGGCGGG